RNAcentral lists this ribosomal RNA (255 nucleotides) under uncultured bacterium. Its description in RNAcentral is "partial 16S ribosomal RNA". It matches the Rfam family "Bacterial small subunit ribosomal RNA", at positions 524 to 776 of the family's 1533-position model. The record is from RNAcentral.
UACGAAGGGGGCUAGCGUUGUUCGGAAUUACUGGGCGUAAAGGGCGCGUAGGCGGUGUGUCAAGUCAGGCGUGAAAGCCCCCGGGCUCAACCUGGGAACCGCGCUUGAGACUGGCACGCUAGAGUCCGGGAGAGGAUGGUGGAAUUCCCAGUGUAGUGGUGAAAUACGUAGAGAUUGGGAAGAACACCAGUGGCGAAGGCGGCUAUCUGGACGGUUUCUGGACACUAAGACUCGAAAGCGUGGGGAGCAAACAGG